Molecule: transfer RNA, 73 nt
Filed under: Candidatus Berkelbacteria bacterium
Lineage: Bacteria; Candidatus Berkelbacteria
Description: tRNA-Pro
Rfam family: tRNA
About the family: Transfer RNA (tRNA) molecules are approximately 80 nucleotides in length.
Source: RNAcentral
CGGGGAUUGGCGCAGUUGGUAGCGCGCGGGAUUCGGGUUCCCGAGGUCAGCAGUUCGAGUCUGCUAUCCCCGA